UCACCCACUGCAUGAGAGACAUGAAUUGAACUGGGAGUGGGGUAUACCUCCUUUCUUUUAUCCCAGCUCUGAAAAAUGGGCCUGGGGUUUCUGUUCUGUCUUAUUUGUGUUUCUCAGUUUCAGGUGCCAUGGUGAUCCUGCAGAACUUGAAUGUUCAAGAUACGGCAACCUUGGAGCCAGGAUUACAGUACAGAUAGGAUGAUGUGGCCAACAAUCCUGCUAAUCCUGUCAGUGGUAAGAUGGAGCUGGGGAGCAGAAGACCCAGCCCUAUGAUUGAGGGAGCACCACUAGUGGAGGCUGGAGCCAUUUGCAGAGACCCAGACACUCUAAUCCCCCUUGAGGACACUGAAGAACCCUCGGUGAAAUAUAACACGGUGGAUCUUAAGCGGGCGCCAGGGUGGCGUCACAUAUCGUUUUCCUGGUUUGGCUCGCUUAACUCUGCAUCAGUCCAUGCCAGCACAAAAGAAUGGCUCCUGCCACAAAGAUCCAGCCUUACAAAAGCCUCAGCCAAUCAAAUCAUAUGGAAGGGAAACCCAGUCACUGAAAACUAAUGAGGAGUUGACUUUGUCUUCUGAACAGGGUGCCAAUGCACAUAUCCAUAUUCUAAAGGAAAGAAAUAUAUCCAUCAAACUGACACAAAGGGGAACUCCCCUGAUCCAGUGCCCUUUACCCUGAUGAUGAUAUGGUUUAGUUCUUCCCAUGCUAAUCCAAUUUGUUGAUCAUUGGAUAAGGAUUUCACAUUUAGGAUAUCAAGUUACAUUAAUGUCUGGCCUAAAAGAUGACAUAAAACUGUGAUUCUCUGUACCCUCAGCCCCCAUUUCCACCGUUUUGCUACCAUCCCUGCAGAAUCAAUAGGAUCAAGGGCCAUUUUUAAUUUUUCUUUGUUUUGUGGGUUGCCACAAUCAAAGAAUCCAUCAUGCAAUGAUGAUGAGCCUCUCUUUACGUAGCCAGGCUGGUUACUGGACAGCAAUGGAACCACGCUCAAACCCUUGUUACAACCUGUUAGAACCUGCCUGUGGUCUGUUGGAAACAGCGUUGUAGAUAGAUUGUAGAGAGAAGGCACAGGAGGCAAGAAACACAGUUAGGACGCUACAACUGAGAGGUAACAAGACCCUGAACUAGGACAGUAGCAGUGAAAGCAGAAAGACAGGGAUUGAUAGAAGACCACGUGGAAGCACAAUUGCUAGGUCUUGGCAACUGAUUGAUUUGUACAGUAUGUUACACAAAGCAGUCACCUUGUGCAAGUUGCUUGACUGAAUUAAGUUUAAAAGAUCACAGGGCAUCUGGAAGUAGGAUGAGUCAAAGAUAAAGAAAACAUUUGAAACAUAGGUGACUGGGAAAACAACGGUGCCCAGAACAGGGAAUUGAGGAGGCACAGGUUUUGGUGGGAGGGUAAGCUGAAUUUUGGAUGUGUUGAGUUGAAGUGACAACAGGACAUUCAGGUGUAAAUAUUCAGUGGAUAAUUGGAGAAAAGGGACUGGAGCUCUGGAGAGGUAUCAGGGCUACCAUAUACUUUUAGGAGUCAUUAAAAAGAGAUGAUAAUGAAAAUCAUUCACCAAAAGGUUAUGAAUUCUGCUUCUGUACCUUUAUUUAUUUCAUUCCCUGGACAUUACUGCUUCUACGCCUGUUGGAAAUGCAUUUCUUCUACACAUAUUAACCUGUUGAAAUCCUCCCAUUUUACAAGGCCCCAGUUAAAAUGUUUUUCUUAAUCCAUUCAAUUAAAGUGAUUUCUCCUUCCUCCAAUUCUCAUUAUGUACUUUGUUUUUUAACUCUCCUAUUUACUUAUUGCAUUCUUAUUUUGCUUGACUAUGCAUAUUUGUUACAAAGGUUGGUUUUGUGGGUU
Phascolarctos cinereus (koala) is the source of this 1843-nucleotide long non-coding RNA. RefSeq lists it as uncharacterized. The record is from RefSeq and is a predicted model, not a curated record. NCBI's taxonomy places the organism in Eukaryota, Metazoa, Chordata, Mammalia, Diprotodontia, Phascolarctidae.